This 514-nucleotide small RNA is filed under the name Malus domestica (apple). RNAcentral describes it as "sRNA MD06G0034700". The record is from RNAcentral. Lineage: Eukaryota; Viridiplantae; Streptophyta; Magnoliopsida; Rosales; Rosaceae.
UUCUCUCUGCCGCUGUGAACUUGUUCAUCCUCCUGCAUCUCCCCUUCGCAACCUUCCUCCUCAUCCUCUUCCGUGUAGCCUCUCCGUGAACUUUCAGCUCUGCAUUUCCAUUCCAGUGCUUCGAUCUGCCCAAUACUGCAUCUGCAACCAAAGAUCUGCCACUGUUUAUAUGCUUCCACUCCCCCUAUUGAGCAGUACUGCAUUCAGAGAAUUUUUGUUAGCUUCUAGUGAAACAAUGUCAGGGUUUUCAGAGAAGCGAAAGCCAAGUUACCAUCUCAGCUUGAGGCCAUGGUCUCCCAUAUGAUCAGGUGUUGAAAAUUACAAUGAAGUUAGUCAAAGAUACUGAUAUGACGGGUAUUUGGUGUACCCUGGAUGACUCUCACAAGGCAGAUUUCAUUAAAAUGUUUAUGGAUGGCAACUGAGCAUUAGGGAGUUUAGUAUGAUAUGAACUUUAGUAAUCUUUUUGUUUUCUUCCCUAAAGUCAGGACAAAUGUUUAAUUUGGGAUUUCAUGUU